UUUUUUUUUUUUGGUCAAGGAUAUGUUCAGAUAUGGAUUUUUCAAAUAAAGAGUACUUAAAGUUGCAGACUUCAACCAUCUUUUGUAUGUUUCACUACCAAGACUUGUAUGAAGAUGAAAUUCAGUUAUCAAUGUCAAAAUAGUAUAUCAGAAUGCAUAUGUAUACAUGCAUGACACCUGCCUAUUGAGAACUUGAUCCUGUGAUUUAAAGUUCUCCAAAGACAAGUCCAAUGCAACAUCUACAAAAGUCCAGGGAACCAAUCAAAAGUAGUUUUUUUAUUCCAAAAUCACUAAUACAGUCAUAGACUCCUACACCACAACAUAGGCAUGGCAAUAGUUAAAGAAAUUUGCUGUUUUGCUGCUCCAUUUUUUGAUAUAUGUAAAAUAAUGUGAAACUACAAACAGCAGUACAAAAAUCGUGUUUAAAAUAGUAAGGAAAGGAGAAUCGCUACCAUGAACUCCAAUCAGUGAUCCUUCUGUACCAGCAGUUCUGGGACUUAUCAUUGCAUUAAUCUCAUUCUUUAAAUCCUGUGGCAAAAUAAAAAAUCUCCAUAUAAAAUUUACAACUACAAGAGUAUUAUAGGUCAGAUCAUAUAUAACACAUAGCAUACAGGUUACCUGAGUAGACACAGGAAGCUGCUGACUGCGGUUUUGAGCCUGUUGCAGAUUUCCUGAGCCUCCAGGUGUCCCAUGCAGUGUUUGCCUGCCAAAGAAAAAGUAAUGAAUAACUAAAAGAAGUCUCAGCUACUUUCCAAUUCCGAACAUAAAGAUAUAACACAACAUUGCAAUAAAAGCAAUAUCAUGUGAAAAUUACCCUGGAGGCUGGCCACCCAAUGCAGCUGCUUUCAACAAGGAGGCAUGAUUUGGAUCCAAAAGCUGGCCCAUAUUAUCAUUUAGUCUUGGCUGCAUGGUAUUCUAAUGUUAGAACUGCAAGGAUAAACAAGAAAAAGUCAAUCUUAAAUCUCUUACUGAAUGAGCACCUUCAUAGUCACAUCAUCCAAGGAAUCCCUCUGAAGCGGAAGCUUUAGUCUAUCCUCGUACAUUUUUGUUGCCAAAGCAUUUGCAGUCGCAGAGUUCUGUCUCGUGACAUCAUUAGCAGCAAGUCCACUGGCAUUUCCACUUGGAUGCUGGUUACCAUCUCUACGUUGCUGUUGUUGUUGUUGCUGCUGCUGCUGCUGCUGAUGCUGAGCAUGUCUCUGUAAUAACAGCUGCUGCAUCUGCAUUUGCUGAUGUUGCUGAGGCUUUGGCUGCUGCUGCAUUUCCCGUGCCUUGACCACUUGAGUCUGCUGUUUUCAAGUACUUUCAUCCAUAAGGUUUCAAGUAAACUAUAUUCCCAACAUUGAAAUUACAAAUCAAGGAAAUCCUUGGGAAACAGUGCACUUCAUUUUUAUUUCACCAAUGAAACAAACAUACUAAAGCUAAUUAUGCUCAUCCAGACAGUGUGGAACAAACUAAUGAAAGAAACUCUGUCUAAGCCUAUCAAACAGAAUUUAGAUAAGUUUAAGCAAUUUAAACAUGCACAGAAAUUUUACGAAGUCAACAUGUAGAAGAAAAACAGCCCAAAGAUUUUAUUUUUCCCAUUUAACAGGGGAAGGAUUCAGUGACAAGGAUCUAUUUACAAAAGAUAAAAAAACUACAAAAAUUAUCAAAUACAUAAGCCAGAGAAGACAAUCAAUUAUUGGCUAUCUAUAAAGACUAUAAUACAAUUGCAUUCUACUUGGCAGAUUAGACACAAAAUGCAUAAAAUACAGAAAUCACAAUAUUGCAAUGAGGCCAACAUACCGCAGUAAGGAAGAAAUAAAAUUAAAAAAAAAAAAAACAUAAAUAGACCUCAAUGUAAGAUGCAGCUGCUUCCGAGUGCUUCUCAUUUGUCCUAGAGAUAAAAAUGUCCCAAAAGACAGACCACCAUUCGAAGAGAAAACCACCAGGUGCGUCAAUAGCUGGAAUUAAAAGCAAAUGAAAAGUCAAUAAUAUUCCAAUUACAUGGCAGCAAAUGAACAUGCAAAAUUCUGUAAUGUCUCUAUUUGCCUUUGGUUUCCUAAUUUAUCUCUUUCCAUCAAAUAUUCUUACCAACAGGAUCUGUGGAUACUUUCCCUUCAGCCUGAAAUGCCUUCGCAGCAGUAUGCAGUUUUCUUUUCAUAAGGUAAUCAUAUAUAUAAACAUCCAACCUAUUGUACCAAGGAACAAAGACAUAAUGCCAGUCAGAAAUCAGUAUUAUUGAGACUAUAAAGUAGAGCAAGACACAAUAGUGACAAACAAGAAGCAAAGAUCAAAAAGCCUCAACUGCUAACGAAAUGUAGAUAGAAGAUGGAAACUUCUAGAGAUGAUCAGUGUUUAAAAUACUCAAUAUAGAGCCUCCCACCCCAUUAAAUGUAGCACAAUAUGUGCAGCUAAGUUCAAGUGACAAUUUCAUCUUCUAGAUUCAACGGCAGAGAUUAGACCACUAAGUAGAAAGCUUACUCUCCAAUUUCCAUCAGAAUGAGCAGUCAAAAGAUUCAUUUGACAGUGCACAACUCCUCAAAAGUCCAACUCUAAAUCUCAAAAUUUAGGGGAAAAAGGAACUAGUUGGAAAAGCUCAAAAGAAAACCUUUUCUCUUCUAAGUGAAAAUUUUAUUUCCAAAAAGGCAAUUUGACCUAUAAUAUAAAACUACCUUCUUAUCAGCAAUGGCAAUUUCAUCAGCAAUAACUAAAACAAAAAGAUUUACAAUGUGAAACAUUGAAGUAAAAAAAAAUACACCCCGAAGAAUAAAAUUCAAGCCUGUUCAUAGAAAUUAUGAAAACUAUAAUAGUAAAAAAAGAAAAAAGUAAAAUUUCAAACCCUAACCAAAACUGAGGCAGAAAAAAGCAUAAUUUCUACUAAAAAUCCAAUUUUCGUAUUAGAAACACCAAACAAGCCAUGGCCCAAGAAUGAAGAGAAUAUUACUCAAAGAAAGGGGGGUGGGGGGUGGGGUGGGGGGAGAAAGAAGUUAAAGGAAACACCAACACUUCAGAAACCAUAUUAAAAAAAGAGGAAGAAGAAGAAGAAGAAGACGAAGAACAAGAAAAUAACAAAACCCUGAGACCCAAAAACCCAAUUAAAAAACCCAAGAUUUCUAAAGCUAAAAUAAAUAAAAAUAAACCCUAGAAAUGAAACAAUUUGCUUACAUUUUAUCAGCUUCCCAAUUGGUCUGAGACUGAGACUGAGACUGAGAAUUAGACUGAGACAUGAUUUUGCACUAGUAGUCCUUUAGUAAUGUGCAAAAGAGAAACAACAAUUAGAUAUCAAAAUCAAGAAACAAAGAAUGUCAGGGCAAAACUUCUGUGGGUCAGAUUCUCUAAAAACACGUUCUUUACGGUUUUCCAAAAGAAAAUGCAAAUUUUUUAAAUAUUCUUUUUUUCUUAACAAAAAAGAAAGAAAAUCGUUCUUUUGAAGAAUGGCUGCUUGCCUGCCACCCUUUUUUUUUUUCUUUUUUAAUCUCCUUUUCUUUUUUCUUUUUUAAUCUCUAUUUUGUGUGUGAAAACACUAGACUUUUAUGUGUGAUUAUUAUUUUAAUUAUAAAGUUAAGUCGAUGAAUAAAAUAUAAUUAGAUUUUCAACAUUCAAUAUUGGGUAAAUUAAUCAAUUGGUAUCAAAUUUUGAGAUUGUAUAUUAAUUUGAUAUCAAAACUUUAAUUUGAAUCAAAAUAGUACUAAAAAUACAGACAAGUAUAUCAAUUUAGUCCACAUGCUCAAUUUCUGACAAUGGAUGGUGACGUGACAAGCUGAGAAGACAAAGUUAAUUGACGUGGCACACGCCGAGGGAGCAAAACAAUCAGAAUAUACCUUAUCAGCUUGCCACGUCGCCAUUUGUUGUCGGAAAUUGGUCAUUUAGACUAAAUUGAUAUAAUUUUUUGUACUUUUGGUACCAUUUUGAUUCAAACUGAUAUAUAGUCUCGAGUUUUUAAUACCAACUAAUUCAUUCGGGCGAGACAUCGUAAGAUGUCAUGAUGUGCCCAUUCCUAUGGCCAUUCCUUUAUUACUUCUGGCUCUCGGGAGUCUCUUGCCAUUUUCUUAUGAAUACAAUGAUUCAAGGGACCCUGGAGUUAUAGUGCAUACUUUGCUAUUUCCAGAAGUAUACGUACAAGAUUUCAGUGCCUCUGGAAAGAAGAUAUUGAGAGAAUUCUGUUGAUAUGUAUUCUCCUCCGGAAUCUAAUCGUAAAAAAAAAACUUUGCAUUGAAAAUAAUGUCUGGCUUGUCGAUUAUUCGUUUAGGGGAGGUGAAAAUGGACGGUUCAUGCUGGCGAGAUCGCCUAGGGUGUGUGUAGAGCGGCUCUUUCUCACAACUAGGGGGUUCUAAACUAGAUAGGAAAAAAACCACGCAGAGCGCUCUUCCAAAAGCCCAUUCAAACUCCUCCGUUAGAAAUGUCUCACCACGGAGACAUUGGCCGGUUUUUUGUUCUCUAAUAUAUUGUCUAUGAAUUUCUUUUUCUGUUAGCCAGCUUACCGAUCAUGACUGCACUGUCUCAUUUUGUGCUUCUUCUUGCUCCGUGCAGGAUCGUCAUACCAGCGCCCUAAUUAGUCAUGGUCGUAAUCGUGGGGGCUCAAUUACAUGGACUGUCUCCGUUGAUACCAACUGGACAAUUUACGCUUCAAUAUUACUUUAUAAAAUUUAAAAAAAUAAUAACAAACUAACUAUAUAUAAACAUCUUUAAUUUUUUAAUAUUUUAAAAUUUAUUAAUGCAAUAAUAUAAAUAUUACUUAUUAAUUAAAUAUAAUAUUAAAAAUACAAUUUAAAAUUUUAUUUUUUAUAUUAUAAUUAUUAUCCAAUUACAAAACUAAUUUAUUAGUUAAUAUAAUAUUAAAAUAUAAGUAAUAUAGUAUUUUUUAUGAUAAAUUUAAUAUUAUUAUCUGAUUAAAAAAUUAUUUAUUAGUUAAUAUAAUAUUAGAAUACAAUUAAUGUGCUACUAUUUUUUAGGAUAGAAUUAGUAUUAUUAUCUGAUUAAAAAAUUAUUUAUUUGUUAAUAAUAUUAAAAUAUAAUUAAUAUUCUAUCUCUAAUCCUUAGGAAUUUAAUUUAUUAAUUAAUAAAAAAUUAUAAAAUUACACAUAAAUUUAAAUUUCAUGUUUCAAAAGUAGUACAUAUAUCAAAAUAAAAAUUAAGCACACAUUAAUAAAAAAAUUAGAAUUCAAAAUUUAAUAUUAUAUCUAGAUUAUUAUAUGUACUAAGUCCUUUCUCUAUCUAGAAUGUGUGGCGAGUAAAUGCGUUUCUCUUUUUCUUUUUCUCUAUAAGAAUUAAAUAUUUAAAAAACUAUAUAAAAACAAACUAUAUGUUAGUUAUUUUUAAUAGAAUUCACAUAUAUGUAUAUAUAGGAUAAUAUCUAUAAAUCACUGAAAUAAUUUUUUUAAUUUUUUGUGUAAAUAAUAAACUCAAAAGAUUACUUGGUUGCAUAGUCUUUUAAAAUGAUUUUUCUUGCUUAGUUUUGCAAGUUAUUUUUCCUUUCAUUGCUAUUUAAUUAGAUUUAAGAUAUUGAAAAGAAUAGCAUUUUGAAAAUACUUAAUAAUCAUAAAUUUAAAAAUACAAUAAUUUUAUUUUUUAUAUUAUUAAUUUAUCUAUUAAAUUUUAUCAAUUUGAAUAGAAUUUAUUAUUAUUAAGAGAUUAUGAUAUAGAAAUUACUCUAUUCAUAAAAUUUUGUAUAAUUUAUUUAUAAAAUAAAAUUGAAAUUAAGAAAUUUUAUGAAUAUUUUAUCUGAAUUAAAUUCUAAAAAUAAAAACAAAUUUUUUUAUAUGAAUUAGUAAAUCAAUAUGUUAUAUAAUUUUUAAUUAUAUCUUCUUACUUUAUCUUUCCUUAUGCCUCUUAUCUAUAUUCUUUCAAUUAUAAAUUUUUCAAAAAUAAUAUCUAUUUCCAUUUAAAAUUAAUUCUAUAACUAUUAAUAAAUAUAUUAAACAUAAAAAAAGUUAUAUAAAUAAAUUUUAACUAAAUAUAUACAUUCCCUGCAUAAUUAGUUAAAUAUCUUCCUAUGCAUUUGAUUAUAAUAUGACCAAUAAGUAUAAUGUAUAAUGGAAGGCAAAAGUAGCCCUCUUUUUCUUCUCCACUAUUCUAAACUUUCUCUCUACUAUUCAUCCUCGUAUUCAGAAAAACAAACUUAAUCAUUGGGGUGGUAUCACUCAAAUUACUUGGCUUUGCAGAAAGCACAAGUGUUAUUAUUAUCACAAUUGAUUUUUAUUACCAAGAUUAUUGAAAUGUUUCAUAUAUUUUUCUGUUGUUAAGAGAGGGAAAUAAUUUUGGGGCAUGAAAUAAAUAGCAUGCACUAUGAACAUAUAUUUUAAUGGCCUAAUUAAAUUCUUCAAAUCAUAUCUAUGAUUUAUUCCAUUUUUCACUUACUUUUCUUUAAAAUUUCAAAAAUGUCUUUCGUUUCUUUAUCAGGUUUGAAUUAUUCUGAUAAAGACUUUGAUAUCCCAACCUAAUAUUUCUUCCAAAUCCAAGUUCAACAUAUCAUUUUCAGCAAACGAGUUGCAUCUCUUCUUUUUCUAUUUUCCCACCAUUUUGUUGGUCGUUAGUUAAUUAGCUGCUUGUCAAAAGAUUUGAAGAAUAUAUUUAGCCCUUAGGAUCUCUUUGAAAUUGUUGGGUAAAAUGUCAAAUAUUUUCAUGGCUAAUUAAGCAGUAAGAGUAAUCCUAAAAAUAGUAUAUUAAUGCGAAAGUGUGAGUUGAUAUGGGCCGGGGGGUAAAGGAUUCUAUUGGUUAAAUGCUGAUGGCUAGAUCAGGUGCUAUUUCUGGGAACUUCACAGUUAGAGAGGCUGACGCAAUAAGCAUUAGGGAGGCUUUAUCAGGUGGAUAGAUGUAUCAUAGAAUCAGAUGCAGCCGAAGUCAUCCAAGGCUUGAGGAGUCCUCAAUGUUUCUCUUCAGGUGAGUGUAAUUCUAGAUUUAUUCAUAGAUCUGUGAAUAGUGAAGCUCAUUUAUUUGUUUGGUAACGUCAGGUCUUAAAGAGUAGUUUGUUGCCAAUGUAUUUGUUAUCGUUUAUUCACAUCAAUGAGAGUUCGUUUGGAUUUCAAGAAAGAAAACAGUAAGAGUGAGUUGAGCUACAUUAAUGCAGUAUAGUUUAAAUCACCAUGUUCCAUGCGUAGCAAAACCCAUGUCCGAACCAGGCAUGUAUCACAUUGCAAAAAUAAGGAUAGGUUUAUAGGUACUCAGUACCUACGUACACUAACAAUAGUUCAAUUAUAUAUUAAGAAACUUGAAACUUGAAACAUGACCCCUUCUACUUUUCUUGGAGACAAACAAUAGAAACCAGCAACGCUGUUCUGUUCUGUGCAUUUGAUAGAGCGGACAGUAAGUCUGUCUUUUGACGAGGAUGUAUCUGCGGUGGUUUUUUCAUAUUUCUUCUUGUUCUAGAAAGAGGUGUAAAGAAGUGAAACUACCUCAAUUACUAUAUAUGUCUAGUUGUAAUCAACUAGCUUUAGUAAUAAUCAGAAGCUACAAUUUUAAAAUGGAAGGUGCUGGAAGUAUUUAUACCUCGUAUAAGUAUAAAUAGGUCAUAUAUUUCUCUUGGCCUUGAUAUUGGUUGUAUCAUGAAUGUUUGAAAGAUGGAUGGAGCCGAAGAAGUUUUUCUAGUAUCUUUGAAGUUCGUUUUAACAUGAAUACUGACAUUUAUUUUAAGUUAAAUUAUAAUUUUUCGAGUGGAGAUUGCUGCCAUUAUUCCACUUCUCCCUUCAUUUUAGCAGUUAAAAGAAUAAAAAAUGAAGGGUGGCGGAGGAGGACAAAGACUAACACACUGCAUGUUUGCCUUCCAAAGUUCCCCACCUAUUUUGAUGGGAUUCAUCUGCCGACAAGGACAGAAAUUUGUUCAAUGCUAUUCCCGAGAACAACGCAUGAACCAUGCCAGUUACUCUUUUGUUUCUAAAAUAAUAUUCUUUUCAUUCCUCUACUUCCCAUUUCUUUUUUAAAUAAAAUAAAUUUUAAUUUUUAUAUUAAUUUUUUCAAUUCUAUUCCAUUUUUUUAUAUUAGAACAAGUUACUCUUUAUUCAAUAUUUUUUAAUUUAAAUGAAUUAUUAAAAUGUGAGAAUAAAUAUGAAAUUGAAGAAGUAAUAAUUAAUAAUAAUAAUAAAGAUUAGAAAUGAGGUGAGAGAAUAUAUAAUAUCUUAUUUUAUUUAUUUGUAAAUAAAAGAAAACUGGGGGAUAAAUUAAAGCAGGAGGAAGAAGUCUCUUAAUCUCCAAAUAAGGGGAAAUCUUGAUCUCUCCUCUUCUUCCUCCCAUCAUUUCAAAACAGAAAAAGGUUAAUGUUUCUUACUGUCGGCACACCCACCAAAUGAAAAGGCCAUUUGCCUCGUAAGUGUUACAAAAGGUUACAACUUCGAACCUUCGUUCUUUUGAGCAGUAAAAUUAAUGCUUAAUCAUUUUACUUAUUGGUUUCAUCACAAAAUAUCAUUCUUAUGGCUAUUGAACCAUUUGAUAAUAGUAAGUAACAGUUAAAGUAAUAAUGGUAAAACUAACAGACUUGUCAAUUCUGAGAAUCUUUUUUUUUUCCUUCUUUCUGUUUGAAAACUAGAUAUUGAAUAGCAGGUCAACUAAAAAACUUUCUUAUUUAUUAUUAUGUGAUGGAGCAUGAAGAUGAGGUUUGAGAUUAUUAAUUAUCAAAUUACUGUCAACUAGUUAUUUAUCUAUGCACUGUAGGAUCGUUAUUAUUGUUUUGAUUAUAAAUAAUAAUGUAAAUUAAGUUUAUAAAAAAACUGAAUAAAAUUUAUAAUAUUCUAUAAUUAUCUACUUUCCUUUAAAAAUAUAUAUAAUUUAAAAAUUCUUAAUUAUAUUUUUAAUAAGAUUUUUAGUAUUUAAAAUUUUACUAAUGCAAUAAAUAGAAUUAUUAUUUUAGAAUAAUUUGCUAAUCUUUUUAUUUAUUUAAAAUUAAACUACAAAUAUAACUAAUAUGUUACUUUUUAAAAUUAAAAAUCAUUCUAUAACUAAGAAACUUAUUUAUUAAUCAAUAUAAUAUUAUAAAAAUAAAUCAUUAUCUUAGAAAAAUAAGUUAUUAAUUAUAUAAUGAAUAAAAAAUUACACAUGAACAUAUACAUCUCAUAAUUAAUCACAUUUAUGGUCGACUUUUUUUUUUUUUCUGAAAGGUGGUUGGUUUGUAUUUUGAGUCUUACUAUUUUGGUUGAUUUGUAUUUUUAAGUUGGUUAAUCGUUUUUGUCUUUGAUUUUUCCUGAUCUACUUGGAAACUUUUUCAGAGUAUCAGGACAAGGAACAAACAGCAUUUUAAUAUAAGCGUGGGAGGGUGGGUGCGGUGACGAUUUUGAUUUUCACCAUUUUGUGGUUUAAAUGUGAUCGCUGAGUUGAUUGGUAGUAUGUGGGCUUGGACUUUACAUUCUGUAUAUUUAUGGGCUCAAUCUGUAAUUUAUGUGCACCUUCUUUUCAAAUCUCAUUGGUGUACUAAUUUCUGUUUUUGUUCCAUUUUGCUUGCAUGACAGACCCAACUAUAGUCGAGGGUAUCAUGACUUUAUCUUUUGAAGAUAUCAUUGAUUCAAUUUGCUUUAGGGUUUUAUGAAAUUAAAGAAUUUUGAUUAGUAAAGUAUUGGUGCACAAAUGUCAAAGGACACCGCCAUAUAUAUUCAAGGCUGCACAAAAUAGUGAAAUAUGUAAUUUAAUUCGCUGUAAUGAAAAAAACAUUAUCAGGAUUUGACAUAUUGCGAAUCCUCUUAAAAGGUGUCUUUAAGAUGGUCGUCGUAUGGAACAAACCUUACAAUCAUCAAUUCAAAAGGGGAAAAAAAGAAACUCAAUGCAUUUUAAACAGCGACAUCAUAUGGUUUAAUUAAUCAUAAUCACAUCAAGGCUUUCCUUGUAUAAAUCUACAGUAAAAGAACUUGCUUGUAUAAACCUUACAAUCUUGUUUCCGUCUAAUGGUAAAGCUGUCCAUGCUAAGCUAUCAGGCUUUUCUAUGGUUUUGUCUGGUGGUAAAGCUUUUUAUGGUUUGAUGUAAAGAGUAGAGGAGCUUCUCGUUUGAUUAUACAGAUUGACUUGGAUCAUCGAACAUGAGAUACGAUUUCUUUUUCGUAAUCCCUGUUGUAUUUGGAAUGUAAAUUUCCAAGAAAAUGAAAGAAAUGUAAGCGGAGAAUUCUUUUUAUAGAUACUCGCCCAUUUAAACUUCAAAUGAUUUCUUAUUGUAAGAUAAGAAAUUCAAUUUACAAGCAGACUCUCAAUUCUAAUGCGAAUAAAAAACCCUUUACUUCUCCCUAAAUUGAAUUGGUCUGAACAUGGAUGCAGAUAACACAGCUAAAUAGAAAUGGAAGAUUUCCCAUCAAUUUCUAGUAAUGACUAGAAAAGCAAUUCUCUCAGGAAACUAAGGCCACCACUGUUACUCUUUGAAGUCAUCUUUGUCAUCGACAGGAAUUGGUCUGUUCCUCCAAAACACUGCAAGAGCACUCCCCCCGAGCUGCAAGGCAGAUUAAGAAAAAAUUGAGAUUGUUAAAGUAAUGGUUGACAAAAGAUACCUGAACAGUCAUUGACAGCACACAGAAAACAUAUAGUUGAGCUCUGACUGAAUGCAGUAAUAUACUUACUGCCAUGC
Molecule: long non-coding RNA, 10510 nt
Filed under: Ricinus communis (castor bean)
Lineage: Eukaryota; Viridiplantae; Streptophyta; Magnoliopsida; Malpighiales; Euphorbiaceae
Description: long non-coding RNA (RCOM_LNC000412)
Source: RNAcentral